CGGGACUCGGGGCCAACCUCCCACCCGUGUUGCCCGAACCUAUGUUGCCUCGGCGGGCCCCGCGCCCGCCGACGGCCCCCCUGAACGCUGUCUGAAGUUGCAGUCUGAGACCUAUAACGAAAUUAGUUAAAACUUUCAACAACGGAUCUCUUGGUUCCGGCAUCGAUGAAGAACGCAGCGAAAUGCGAUAACUAAUGUGAAUUGCAGAAUUCAGUGAAUCAUCGAGUCUUUGAACGCACAUUGCGCCCUCUGGUAUUCCGGAGGGCAUGCCUGUCCGAGCGUCAUUGCUGCCCUCAAGCCCGGCUUGUGUGUUGGGCCCCGUCCCCCCCGCCGGGGGGACGGGCCCGAAAGGCAGCGGCGGCACCGCGUCCGGUCCUCGAGCGUAUGGGGCUUCGUCACCCGCUCUAGUAGGCCCGGCCGGCGCCAGCCGACCCCCAACCUUUAAUUAUCUCAGGUUGACCUCGGAUCAGGUAGGGAUACCCGCUGAACUUAAGCAUAUCAAUAAACGGAG
RNAcentral lists this ribosomal RNA (511 nucleotides) under Penicillium citrinum. RNAcentral's name for it is "eukaryotic LSU rRNA". The stretch from base 131 to 284 matches the Rfam family "5.8S ribosomal RNA". The record is from RNAcentral. Lineage: Eukaryota; Fungi; Ascomycota; Eurotiomycetes; Eurotiales; Aspergillaceae.